Harmonia axyridis is the source of this 949-nucleotide long non-coding RNA. RefSeq lists it as uncharacterized. The transcript is spliced from 2 exons. The record is from RefSeq and is a predicted model, not a curated record. NCBI's taxonomy places the organism in Eukaryota, Metazoa, Arthropoda, Insecta, Coleoptera, Coccinellidae.
UCAACAAGAUCACUAGUAUAAAAGCAAGAAUAGCUAUCAAGAUCCAUUGAAAAUCAUUUUGUUUCCUCUAGAGAAAAUGUAAUACAUGAGUCAAAAUUAAUAGAAGUCGAUCGAAGUCUAGUUUUGAUAUUGACUUGAAAGAAAACCAUUCUUAUAACUAGAAUAUUAAUCCUCAAUUGUAGUAAAAAUUGUUUUGAUGGAAGAGUUGCACUGAUUAUAUUAAGAAUAGCUAUCUUGGUUGAAAUCUAAAAUAUCUUCCGCGAAUUCAACUACUGCUUUUCUGAAGCAUACACUAUUCUUCAUCCAAAAACUAAUAUACGCAAGCCAAAUACAGAUACGCUCUACUACGGCUGGCCGUUUGUUCCUGCGCAGAUUGUGGUUGUUCGGAGCGAAUGAUAGGGCUUGCGCAUGAUGCUAGUCUAGAUAGUUGGAACUAGUGGAAAGUGGAAAGUUUAUUGGCAGACAUUUUCGAAGUCGAAGAGAGCAGGAACAGUUUUUUAUAGUUUAGUGUUCAUAAUAUUUUUAGUGAUUUAUUAUUAUGGAGAAAAUUCUAGACGAAUGGGAAUUGGCCGAUUUGAUUCCAAUAUUCAAGGAGCAUGGAAUAACACCUGAUAAUAUAACAAAACUAACAGAAAGCCUAAUUAAGGAAUUGAUCCCUAAUAUCGAAAAAAGGAUGAAAUUCACUGAGAAGUGGAUUAAGAUAGUAGAGUCGUCGGUAUGUACUCAAGUAUGUUCACACAAUAGUUCAUGCAAUAGGUGAUACAAAUUUAGUACCUGUUCUAAUUUUAGGAAACAAAGAUAUAUUUUUUUAAUUUUUGUUAUACGUUUUUUUUAUGAUAAUAUAUUAUAUAUUUUUGACGAAUGUUAUAUGUUUAUGUUGAGAAAAUAAAAUGUGUUCAAUUUUUUCCUUUGUAAAUUCUGUUAUCACCCAAAAUUCCAUUUUCAGGUA